Molecule: transfer RNA, 74 nt
Filed under: Rhodospirillales bacterium
Lineage: Bacteria; Pseudomonadati; Pseudomonadota; Alphaproteobacteria; Rhodospirillales
Description: tRNA-Gln
Rfam family: tRNA
About the family: Transfer RNA (tRNA) molecules are approximately 80 nucleotides in length.
Source: RNAcentral
UGGGGCGUAGCCAAGUGGUAAGGCAGCGGAUUUUGAUUCCGCCAUGCGGAGGUUCGAACCUCCCGCCCCAGCCA